GGGUGGUGGGACCAGCAGUGGUGGCAGCAGCACCAACUCCCUGACUGGGUCCCGGCCCCCCAAGGCCCGGCCCACUAUUCUCAGCUCAGGGCUGCCAGAGGAACCCGACCAGAACCUGUCCAGCCCUGAGGAGGUGUUCCACUCUGGCCACUCCCGCAACUCCAGCUAUGCCAGCCAGCAGUCCAAGAUCUCCGGCUAUAGCACAGAGCACUCGCGCUCCUCCAGCCUCUCAGACCUGACGCACCGCCGCAACACGUCCACCAGCAGCAGCGCCUCUGGGGGCCUUGGUAUGACCGUGGAGGGCCCUGAGGGCAGUGAGCGGGAGCACCGGCCCCUGGAGAAGCCACCGCGGCCACCCCGGCCCCUGCAUCUGUCCGAUCGCUCUUUCAGGCGGAAGAAGGACUCGGUGGAGAGCCACCCGACCUGGGUGGACGACACGCGGAUCGAUGCGGAUGCCAUCGUGGAGAAGAUCAUGCAGAGCCAGGACUUCACAGACGGCAGCAACACCGAGGACAGCAACCUCCGGCUGUUCGUGAGCCGCGAUGGCUCCGCCACGCUGAGCGGCAUCCAGCUUGCCACCAGGUAGGGCAGGCUUAGGGAGGGGUCGUCAGGGGCGGCUGGGGCUUGGGGGUGAGAGCAGAGUCCCCACAGUCCACUCACCUGGCCUUGAACGCCAAAUCUUGUCACCACAGUGUGACCCUGUGCCUGUCAUGUCUCUGAACCUCCCUUUCCCCAUCUGUCAGGCGGUGUGGACACCACCACCUCACCUGGGAGCCUGGGGCAGUGAGGGCACGGACAGGUUCGGUGGGUUCCCACAGUUCACAGGGUCACCUCCAGCAAUGCCUGGCGCAGGGCUCGGCACAUGGCAGGGGCCUCAUGCGUUUAUUUAGAACCCUCCCUUCCCCUUCCUCCCAGCUCCAGGGACUCGGGAAGAAUGGUGGUGGUGAUGCCUUAUGGGUUUACUGAACAAAUCUUUCCCUAACACCAGCUAGGCACUGGGCCCUGAGCGAAGGCCUGGUUCAACGCAGGCUGCUGCCUACACAGCAUCCACAGAUGGCGGGGGUAGAUGGGACCAAAGUUGCAGGAACGACAGUUUAUAGAGUGCUGCGUCACAGGCAUUCAUUUGGAGCACGUUGACUGUGUGCCUGGCUCUCCAUGUGCUUUGGCUAACCGAAUGAAUGAGCGAGUGAGCGAAUGAGCUUCCCACGGGCAGGCUGCUGAGGGCAGGUGGGGAGUCCACCUAACAUCCACAUCCCCAGGGAAGAGGCAUGGCCAGGCCCCUGCGCAGAGGCUACCGUCUCACACUGCUCUGCUGACUCCUGCUGGCCACGGCCUGGAAUGGCAGCCGUCAUCUCCCAGUAGCCUCCUGGGCCGCUCUGGGGUGGGGGUGAGGGGGCGGUGAGCAAGAAGGAAACUGAGGGGCUGGCUUCCUUACGGGUUUGUAAACACACCCCUCCCUGGCCCCCUCUGAAAAUGAGGAAGCAUCUUGGGGAAAGAAACCAAUCUGGUUGGGAGCGAGAUCACAGCAGAGCUACAUGCUGAGCCCCGAGAGUCCCCGACUCCAGGGCUGGGCCUGGGCUCGGCAGGGAAAGGAGCUGACCAGGUUUCCUGACAUCCCACUGCCCUCUUGGUCACCCUCACAUCCCUCUGUGCCUUAGUUUCUUCACCUGUCAAGUGGGGCAGGGUGCAAUCACUCCCUACCAAGGUGACCGUGAGGAUGGGGUGGCACAGCCAGACGUGCCCAGAAGGGCUCUGCAGGCCCCACAGACUCUGAUGCUUACUAUCUGUGUCACUGUGGGCAAGGGACUUACCAUCGCUGGAGCUCAGUUUUAGCCCCUUUGCAACACGGGGCUGGUUAACAGUACCUGCUUGUGAAACACCUCCAGAGGCCUGGUCCAGUGGAGCGCUCAGGAAAUGGGGUAUCUAGGGGGACAUGCUUACCUGUCUCUCACCUGCAGGGUCUCUUCUGGGGUCUACGAGCCAGUUGUGAUUGAAAGCCAUUGAGGAGCAGGUGUCCGGGCUGGAGAAGAGUCCUGCUUUCUCUGGAGUCCAGACCUGCAUCAUUCCAUGAGGAACUUUCCCCUUCAGAUCACCUCUGUGCCACAUCUCAUCCAUGCCUCCUCCAUGCACUCCAGUCCACACUCCCCAUAGCAUCAUUCCAUUGCCCUCCCAUCCAUGCUGGGACCCUCCUGGCCCACCAAGGCCCAGGCACCACUGUGAAUAUUCUCCUCUGAACCACUAGAGGGCAGGCCAGGCAGGCCAGGCGGGCCCGUGCAGCUUGUGGGCAAGAAGGAGCUGGCUAGGACAGGCGCUGCUGGAGACUGACCCAGCCCUCUGGCUGAGGACAUGCAGCGGCUCCUAAAUGUAGAGAUGCCUGUGGCUGUGUCCCCACUCACUCCAGGAGCACUGGCUUUGGUCACGUCUUAGCGGCGGGGCCUUGCUCCAUUGUUCCCUUGCCCUGGUGGUGGGGGGGCCAGACCACCUCUGGAAUCCUGCCACCUGUGACUGUCUGACUGCUUAGUGCUUCAGCUGUCCCUUCCUUGUGUCCUGGGGGACCUGCUGGCAGCCUCUUCCUGGGAGCCAUGACCUCAGACCCCACCCACACUCCAGAUCCAGACCCCACCCACACUCCAGAUUGAGACCCCUGCCUCUCCCCGGCAAAUGUCCUCCCGCUGCCUUGCAGCCUGCACUUUGCACAUGCUCACCCCCAGCACAGUCCCGCUGGCCCCUCACCUCCCCUUCCCUGAGCCCCUUCCCAAGGACUCCUGGUCACUGCCUGCUGUGCAGUCAGAGGCCCAGGGUCCAGCAGCCCGGCGGGAACGGGUGCUGCCUCUCCCUCCAGUUAGCUCCAGCUCAGGUCUGAGACCCGUGCUGAGAAAGGUCUGAGCACCGACCGUGCCCUCUGCCCAGGGCUGGGUCCUGAGCAGCUGGUUUUCCUGCAGGAAGGUUGGAGCAAGCAAAGUCCUUCUCUGCCCUCAGGGUCAGCUGCCCAGACUGGGGCGGAUGCCAGAGAGGCAGGUGGGCUGUGGCUGGACUGGUCCGGAGCUGGCUUCCUUGCCAGAAAAGCCUCAGCCUUCCUCUGGAAGCAUCCCCCGUUCUGGGCAAGGGGGAAGGGCUCCUUUAAGGGGUGUGCUUUCCCAGCGGGGAGCAGUCUGGCCCUGCCCCCUACUAAAGCCUCUGCUCUCAGCACUUUCCCCCAAGUCCUUGUAACUUGCUUGAAGGUGGGUUCUGGCUGUCAGCCAGUCCCUGGACAAACUCUCCUGUCCCUUUUAAAUUUCACUCAUUUUGUAUAAACCCAGCAGGCUGGUGUUUACUUAGCCCUAUAGCUUUUUUCAUUUUUUCUUUCCGUCUUUCUUCUUGAGUUCACGGUUCAAUACUGCCUCCUCCCCCUGGUGAGGGGAGGUGCUGCUUUUCUGCCCCACCUGCCGGCUGGUUCCAGCAGCGCUGGGGCCCAGCUGGGGGGCCGGGAUGGGGGCUUCUCUCUCUGGGAGGGGUGCAGGUGCCCUCCCCAGGCUGGGAGGGUUCCUUCCCUAGUUCCCCAUCUGUCCCCGCUGGUGAGAGUUGAGCUUCUUGGUCUUGGAACUCCCUGGCAUUGGGACCAGAGCAUUUCUAGCAUUUGUUGUUGUUGUUGUUUUACUCACCUAACCCUUAGAAAAUGAAUGUUAGAAGGUGCCUGCCGAGGUGAGACAGAGUGUUUGCUCUGGCUGGAGAAGGCUCUUCUCAGCCCUGAGAGUCCCUUCCUGCCCCACAGAUACUGGCACUUUAAAAAGGAAGCUGACCGCACUGUGUCCAGACGAAUUGGCCCCCAGAAGAUGGGGAGUUCUGUCCUGCCCUUCUGUGUCUGCGUGACCUCACCCAGCCUAGGAGGGAGGUGCAUUCAGGGUAGAUUUGCCUCUUAUUCAAAGUUCUGGGGCUUUGGGCAGAAAACAGCCGGCUUUGGCGCUGUUGGGGAGACUCCUCCAGACCAGGAACCCCAGAAGGAGACAGAGCCUGCCACACCCUUCCACGCCAGGCCCUGGGCCAGGGUGAUUGGACUGAGAAUUUGGCCACAACCAAAUUGAUGCUGGCUGGAACCAGAGGCCAGAAAGCCUGGCCUUGUUGUCCCCAUGUGGGAGCCCUGUCCUCAGCCCCCUUGUCCCCUUGAGCUCAGUGAAUUCCCACCAGGUGCCCACGGCUCCUGGACUUCAAAUUCUAUAUAUUGAGAGAGAUGGAGAGUAUAUCAGAGAUAUUUUUGGAAAGGAAUUGGUCUAUGCAAUGUCAGUUUGGAAUCUUCUUGAAAGUUUAACGUUUUUAUUAGGAAAUUUAAAGAAAAUAAAGGUCUACAAUAUC
Molecule: small RNA, 4329 nt
Filed under: Pongo abelii (Sumatran orangutan)
Lineage: Eukaryota; Metazoa; Chordata; Mammalia; Primates; Hominidae
Description: retained intron
Source: RNAcentral